UACGGAGGGUGCAAGCGUUGUCCGGAUUUAUUGGGUUUAAAGGGUGCGUAGGCGGCUAUUUAAGUCAGUGGUGAAAUCCAGCAGCUUAACUGUUGAACUGCCAUUGAUACUGGAUGGCUUGAGUACAGACGAGGUAGGCGGAAUUUAUGGUGUAGCGGUGAAAUGCGUAGAUAUCUGGAGGAACACCGGUGGCGAAGGCGGCGUUCUGGACUGCAACUGACACUGAGGAACGAAAGCCAGGGGAGCAAACGGG
This 253-nucleotide ribosomal RNA is filed under the name uncultured bacterium. RNAcentral describes it as "partial 16S ribosomal RNA". It matches the Rfam family "Bacterial small subunit ribosomal RNA", at positions 524 to 776 of the family's 1533-position model. The record is from RNAcentral.